GGGAGGCAGCAGUGAGGAAUUUUGGACAAUGGGCGCAAGCCUGAUCCAGCCAUGCCGCGUGCGGGAAGAAGGCCUUCGGGUUGUAAACCGCUUUUGUCAGGGAAGAAACGGUUUGGGCUAAUAACUCAGACUAAUGACGGUACCUGAAGAAUAAGCACCGGCUAACUACGUGCCAGCAGCCGCGGUAAUACGUAGGGUGCAAGCGUUAAUCGGAAUUACUGGGCGUAAAGCGUGCGCAGGCGGCUUUGCAAGACAGAUGUGAAAUCCCCGGGCUCAACCUGGGAACUGCAUUUGUGACUGCAUCGCUGGAGUGCGGCAGAGGGGGAUGGAAUUCCGCGUGUAGCAGUGAAAUGCGUAGAUAUGCGGAGGAACACCGAUGGCGAAGGCAAUCCCCUGGGCCUGCACUGACGCUCAUGCACGAAAGCGUGGGGAGCAAACAGGAUUAGAUACCCCAGU
RNAcentral lists this ribosomal RNA (456 nucleotides) under uncultured bacterium. RNAcentral describes it as "bacterial SSU rRNA". It matches the Rfam family "Bacterial small subunit ribosomal RNA", at positions 343 to 791 of the family's 1533-position model. The record is from RNAcentral.